GAUGAACGCUGGCGGCGUGCCUAAUACAUGCAAGUCGAGCGAACGGACGAGAAGCUUGCUUCUCUGAUGUUAGCGGCGGACGGGUGAGUAACACGUGGAUAACCUACCUAUAAGACUGGGAUAACUUCGGGAAACCGGAGCUAAUACCGGAUAAUAUUUUGAACCGCAUGGUUCAAAAGUGAAAGACGGUCUUGCUGUCACUUAUAGCUGGAUCCGCGCUGCAUUAGCUAGUUGGUAAGGUAACGGCUUACCAAGGCAACGAUGCAUAGCCGACCUGAGGGGGUGAUCGGCCACACUGGAACUGAGACACGGUCCAGACUCCUACGGGAGGCAGCAGUAGGGAAUCUUACGCAAUGGGCGAAAGCCUGACGGAGCAACGCCGCGUGAGUGAUGAAGGUCUUCGGAUCGUAAAACUCUGUUAUUAGGGAAGAACAUAUGUGUAAGUAACUGUGCACAUCUUGACGGUACCUAAUCAGAAAGCCACGGCUAACUACGUG
RNAcentral lists this ribosomal RNA (497 nucleotides) under uncultured bacterium. RNAcentral describes it as "partial 16S ribosomal RNA". It matches the Rfam family "Bacterial small subunit ribosomal RNA", at positions 28 to 507 of the family's 1533-position model. The record is from RNAcentral.